RNAcentral lists this unclassified non-coding RNA (1971 nucleotides) under Gigantopelta aegis. RNAcentral's name for it is "lysophospholipid acyltransferase 2-like, transcript variant X2". Lineage: Eukaryota; Metazoa; Mollusca; Gastropoda; Neomphalida; Peltospiridae. The record is from RNAcentral.
CCGUUUCGGUGAAUUGAUGCAGAACAUUAGAAUGUGUAUAGGUUUUAUGACUUAUGCAUAAAUUGGUAAAGACAAAGGAUUGAUACUUGGAUAGACCGUGUUGUAUUUAUUUCAGCAGAAUGGUUCGAACCGGUGAAUUUUACGGCGGAUCCAGACUUCUGAUUGGCAUUUCAUUUCUUCCAAUUGAUCAGGUGAACUUUCUCUUCUGUCAGACUUUAGCGUUGCUGUUUGCCUUUCCAUUUCGGAAACAUUUUUCUCCCCAAACCUGCGGUGUAGUGACACGACAUGCCAUAGAGUUGGUGUUCGGUGUCAGCCUGGCGUACUUCUGCUUUGGAUAUCAGAUCUACCAUCUGUUUCUGCUGGCUCUCGGUUGCUACCUGCUGAUGCGCAGUGGCCAGAAAUGGAUGCACAUUGCAGUGUUCAUAUUUACCAUGACCUAUCUGAGUGUUAUACACAUCUUUCGCCAGUACUACGACUACGGAGGGUACACUCUGGAUAUCACUGGACCUAUGAUGAUCAUGGUACAGAAGUUGACGAGUAUUGGUUUUUCCUACCAUGACGGCGUGGUGAAAUCUGACAGCGAGCUCACCCCAGAACAGAAACUGAUGGCUGUCAGAAAACUUCCUGAUGUCCUCACUUUCCUGAGCUACCUCUUCUACUUCCAUGGCAUCAUGUGUGGCCCCUUCACCUUUUUUUCAGACUACCUCGCGUUUAUUGACGGCACCAACUUCAGUAAAGCUAUAAAACCCGCGAUACAGAAUGAUAUUUCUGAAUCUUCUGAAUCUCCAGAAGAUACAUCCCCCAAUGAUAUUUCUGAAUCUUCUGAAUCUCCAGUGCCUAUAGAAGACACAUCUCCCAAUAAAGUGGUUGCCAAGAAGCUGAUGAUAACUGCUUUCUUUGGAAUCAUCAUGAUCACAUUGUUACCAAGGUUACCACCCGAUUAUUUACUAAGUGAUGAAUAUAAUCAACUUUCUUUCUUAACACGCCAUUUCUGGCUCCUUGUGAUAAUAUCACUGGUUAGAGCAAAAUACUACUUUGCCUGGAAACUUGGGGAGUUAGUAAACAAUGCUGCCGGUCUAGGUUUCCACGGUUACGAUUCCGAAGGUCGUCCCAAGUGGGAUCUUGUAAACAAUGUGGAUAUAUAUAGACUUGAGACGUGUAACAGCCUGAAGGUGAAUGUAGAGUGCUGGAAUAUAACGAGCACUCAUUGGCUGAGACAUGUGGUAUACAACCGCACCUCGAAAAACCGCACAGCCGCCGUGUUCGCCUGCAGUGCCAUUUGGCACGGCUUCUACCCCGGCUACUAUGUGACGUUCGCCACAGGAGCUCUCUUUACAUUCGCGGCUAGACAGGUUCGAAGAAAUAUUCGGCCAUAUUUUCAAACGUCUGAGAACUUAAAAGUGUUUUAUGACUGUGUCACCUUUAUAGCCACCCGUCUAGCCAAUGUGAUCAUGUGUGCUCCAUUCACGGUGCUGGAAUUCGUACCAAGUAUACGAGUAUAUAGGUGAGAUUAGUCAUAGUGUCUUAAUAAUUAAUAUCAUGUGUGCUCCAUUCACGGUGCUGGAAUUCGGACCAAGUAUACGAGUAUAUAGGUGAGAUUAGUCAUAGUGUCUUAAUAAUUAAUAUCAUGUGUGCUCCAUUCACGGUGCUGGAAUUCGGACCAAGUAUACGAGUAUAUAGGUGAGAUUAGUCAUAGUGUCUUAAUAAUUAAUAUCAUGUGUGCUCCAUUCACGGUGCUGGAAUUCGGACCAAGUAUACGAGUAUAUAGGUGAGAUUAGUCAUAGUGUCUUAAUAAUUAAUAUCAUGUGUGCUCCAUUCACGGUGCUGGAAUUCGUACCAAGUAUACGAGUAUAUAGCUCUACAUUGUGGUGGAUGCAUAUUUUGUCCAUAUUAGCUAUUCUGUAUUUUAACAUUACGAGUCUUUCAAAGAAGAAGCAAUAAUCCAUAUACAGGGUAUUGACCUUGUGACCU